GUCUACGACCAUGCCACCCUGAACAAGCCCGAUCUCAUCUGAUUUCAAAAGCUAAGCAGGGUCAGGCCUGGUUAGUACUUGGAUGAGAGACCACCUAGGAAUACCAGGUAAUGUAGGCA
This is a ribosomal RNA of Pteropus vampyrus (large flying fox), 119 nucleotides long. Lineage: Eukaryota; Metazoa; Chordata; Mammalia; Chiroptera; Pteropodidae. The record is from Ensembl.